CUCCGUCGUAAGCGAACGCAUCUCUCGGUGCUUGUACUCAUAAGAAUAUAGAACUUGCUUUGAAGCAGACCCUGCAUGAUUUCAGGUUCUGUUAGGUCGGGCCUCCUCUGUACGAGGUUACACGGACUGGAAGCGCAGACUGUUUCGUAACUUCCCGCAAGAGAGCUUCGACAAAGUAAACAACCGGCACCAGUGAAAUCAGCUGCCACUGCAUUGAAAAUUUCCUAGCCGAAAUUCUUGAGAUUCGUCCCUUAAGAGGAAAGAUUCAAGGAACGGUAACCGGAAACACUAGUUUGCUUAAAUCUGGCACUGAGAGUGAGUUCAUUCAAAAUCGACGGAACCUCAAAAUCCUUUCAUGAUUUUGUGAUUGAUCCGCCACUGUUGCGGUGCGCUGUCGGUUUUCAAGGUUCGUAGGGUCAAACAAGAGUUAACUGCUUUGUCAUAACAAGAGGAGACUGGCUGCUGCUUAGAAUUUCACAUCACGAUCUCUAUCCGCCACUGAAAUAACUCAUAUAACUGUACAGAGAAUUCCAUCACACCGGCUGUCAUUCAAUUAUAUUAGAGUCAAACGAUUGAUCGAUAAGCUAAUUGAUAACAAGACUAAGGGAUCACGGUAUAGAGGGUGUGAGAGAGAAGGAAAGAAAGAAUAAAGGAAAAGAAAACAAAACGUUGUUGGAAGAAUUAAUAGCUCACUUUCCUUUAAUAUGAUCCUGAUACACAGACCCAUAGCCAGACAGACACCCAGACAGCAAGAUGAUCUCAUAAUCCUCUAUUUCUAAAAAAAGGGGGGGGGGGGGACAGACACACAGAAGUUAAUCUCGUAAGCCUCAUUUUACUUUUGGAGAAUAAGUAAAGUAGGAUUAGAAUGGGUUGAGAACAGGUGAGGAAAUAACGAAAAGGAGAAAAAGAAAGUACACACAGACGAAACGAGGAAGAAAGAAAAUCGAAGACAAGAGGUAGAAGGAAUCUGGAAAUAAAAAGAAAAUUACUAAGAGACGGAGAAGUAAAUAGUAAGUGAAAUUGUUAUUGAUUAAUUCAGCACCACGCCAUGAAGACGUACUGGGUGAAUGGAGGUAUAGGUCCACAAUUAUUGACCGCGUAUCUAGAUGGAGGCUAGUGAUCAGCCCGAGAGAGAAAAAUCUCUUGACACUACCGGGAAUUGAACCACCGCCGUCCAACCGUAGCCCGUCUCGAUAUAGAAUGAAAAGGACAGAAAUAAACAAGACAUGAAAAAUGAAAAUAAAGCAGGAACGAAAGAAAGGAGUGAAACCACAAAGGAAUAGAAGAGAGAGACGAGAUAGAAACAG
Molecule: long non-coding RNA, 1307 nt
Organism: Cryptotermes secundus
Lineage: Eukaryota; Metazoa; Arthropoda; Insecta; Blattodea; Kalotermitidae
Exons: 3
Source: RefSeq, a predicted model, not a curated record